This 1335-nucleotide long non-coding RNA is filed under the name Oncorhynchus kisutch (coho salmon). RNAcentral describes it as "lncRNA (ENSOKIG00005003161.1)". Lineage: Eukaryota; Metazoa; Chordata; Actinopteri; Salmoniformes; Salmonidae. The record is from RNAcentral.
UCUGUAUCGGAUGAAAACAAGAAGAUUUUUCAGUCUGAUCAACCAGUCUGCUUGCAGUCGUCAGUUACCAUCAGCUAAGUCCCCUCCUGUUCCCUGAUUUAAGAGGUGAUGACUACUCCACUCCAAUACCAUUGUCAACUUUCUCCUGACAUGAACCGAAGCCACGUCUCAGGUGCCCCCUCAUCCACUGGCACAUUGAAUGUUUCCCCUCCAAGCACUUUUUUUGUCUUCCCAGUCAAAUCCUGUCCUGCACUGGUCAAGCCUAUGAACACCUCAACUCAUGCCUCAUACCCUCAUUCAAUCACUGCUGUGAUCCAUUUCCAACACGGUUCUCUAUUCUCUCCCCCAGUGAAUGCUUGAAACCCUCAUCUUGUCUCUGUCUCCCUUUCCGGAGGACCUGAGGCUCUUGGACCGAGACUGAGUACUCCCUGGCCUGACACCUGGAGGUGCCUAGCCCAAUCCCACCUUGUCACGCUCUACCUGCUACCUGCCUAUUGCUGCCUUCACUGGUUCUUUCUCCUCAAACACUGACCCCCACUCCCCACACACCCAGAAACGGGAAUUUCCAUUACUUACCAUGACGUCUGACUAUAGGGUCUUGAAUGUAUGCUUUUAUACGGUCUGUAUCUCUGUAUUAAUGUAAGUCAAAUAAAUAUUGUGGACUGGAAGUGUGACUUCUUUUUUUUUUCACCUUUAUUUAACCAGGUAGGCUAGUUGAGAACAAGUUCUCAUUUGCAACUGCGACCUGGCCAAGAUAAAGCAUAGCAGUGUGAGCAGACAACAAAGAGUUACACAUGGAGUAAACAAUUAACAAGUCAAUAACACAGUAGAAAACAAAGGGGGGUCUAUAUACAGCCGACUAGAGCAUACAAGUCGCAGUGGUGGGUGGUAUAAGGUGCUUUAGUGACAAAACGGAUGGCACUGUGAUAGACUGCAUCCAGUUUGCUGAGUAGAGUGUUGGAAGCCAUUUUGUAGAUGACAUCGCCGAAGUCGAGGAUCGGUAGGAUAGUCAGUUUUACUAGGGUAAACUUGGCAGCGUGAGUGAAGGAGGCUUUGUUGCGGAAUAGAAAGUCGACUCUUGAUUUGAUUUUCGAUUGGAGAUGUUUGAUAUGAGUCUGGAAGGAGAGUUUACAGUCUAGCCAGACACCUAGGUACUUAUAGACGUCCACAUAUUCUAGGUCGGAACCAUCCAGGGUGGUGAUGCUAGUCGGGCAUGCGGGUGCAGGCAGCGACCGGUUGAAAAGCAUGCAUUUGGUUUUACUAGCGUUUAAGAGCAGUUGGAGGCCACGGAAGGAGUGUUGUAUGGCAUUGAAGCUUGUUUGGAGGUUAGAUAGC